AUUGAUAUAUAUAUAUAUAUAGAGAGAGAGAGAGAGAGUUUGGCUAUGAUGCUUGUAAAAACACCAACUCUUGGUGUUUGUGAAUUUUUUACCGUUAGAUUUAUGCUUUUGAUCAUUUUCACCCGUUAGAUUGUCCUGUUCAACCAACCACCCACUCAACCCUAGGGGUCCCACAUUAUUCUAACUGUACAUCUCUUAAUCCAAUGGCCAAAAAUCUACGAGCAUCAAUAAUUUUAUAUUUUAAAAAUAUAGAAGCUCAAUUUUAUAUAUAUAUAUAUAUAUAUAUAUAUAUAUA
This 295-nucleotide long non-coding RNA is filed under the name Ananas comosus (pineapple). RNAcentral's name for it is "long non-coding RNA (ACOM_LNC010979)". Lineage: Eukaryota; Viridiplantae; Streptophyta; Magnoliopsida; Poales; Bromeliaceae. The record is from RNAcentral.